Molecule: ribosomal RNA, 465 nt
Filed under: uncultured bacterium
Lineage: Bacteria
Description: partial 16S ribosomal RNA
Rfam family: Bacterial small subunit ribosomal RNA
Source: RNAcentral
GACGAACGCUGGCGGCGUGCUUAACACAUGCAAGUCGUACGGUAAGGCCCUUUCGGGGGUACACGAGUGGCGAACGGGUGAGUAACACGUGAGUAACCUGCCCACAACUUUGGGAUAACGCUAGGAAACUGGUGCUAAUACUGGAUAUGUGCUCCUUCUGCAUGGUGGGGGUUGGAAAGCUCCGGCGGGUGUGGAUGGACUCGCGGCCUAUCAGCUUGUUGGUGGGGUAGUGGCCUACCAAGGCGGCGACGGGUAGCCGGCCUGGGAGGGUGACCGGCCACAUUGGGACUGAGAUACGGCCCAGACUCCUACGGGAGGCAGCAGUGGGGAAUAUUGCACAAUGGGCGCAAGCCGGAUGCAGCAACGCCGCGUGCGGGAUGACGGCCUUCGGGUUGUAAACCGCUUUCAGCAGGGACGAAGCUUUUUGUGACGGUACCUGCAGAAGAAGCACCGGCUAACUACGUG